UCUUCAAAAAUUCAUUAAUUUCAAUCUAUUAACACUGCAAGUGCAUUUUUUUUCUCCACAAAUGUAUCAUAUUUCAUUUACAACACAAAAAUAUUUAUUUUAAAUAAUUUUCGCAUUCUUUGUUUGUUUUCAUUUCGUUUUGACUCACAUCAAUCAAAGUCAAAGGCACUGCCACAAAACACACUGCUUUCAAAAUUGUGCGCUGUUGUCAAAUUAUAUACCAAUUAUAAUUAUCAACAGGGUUUGUGUAAACAUAUAUUCUUUACAGCUUCCAAAUCUCUAUUUAUUUACUAUUUGUGUGCGCUACUGAUCACUUACUACCCGCAUUGACUUAAAAAAUCGACUAAUCAUUUGCGCACAGCUGACCAGUAUUGCGGCGCACACAGACCGGUUAAACGUACAAAUCGUCCGAUUGGGAGGCUUAACCAUUGACGCUUAUCAAUAAACGCUUACACACACCGUUGCGGUAUGGCGUAUGACUAAUACAUUAUUUUUUGCAAUUGCGACAUGAAUAUUGAAAUGAAUUUCAACGUAACUUCGCUUGCUAGCGUCCCUUACCGAAAGUGCGGUAAGCUGAUAAGUUGGCCGUACACAAACGAACACAAUACAAUACACAUAUGCAUACACAUUAUUUUCGCUUUAUACAAAGAGCAGUAGCUUUAAUAUACGCUCUUGUAAAAUAAUAAAACAAAGCGCUGCUGUGCAAGUUAAAAGUAAACCGAAUUGUGGUUAUGGAGGCACUUGCGGCGCGUCUGUGCGACGAAGAGGCUAGCAAACGGCUGAUAAGCGUGCAGGUAUGCGGAUUAUUUUCAAUGUAAAUAAGUGAAUAAAUAACCGAGACAUUUAUCACUUGCAUUAAACGAGUUGACACAGACGGACGCGCGAGCAUAUAUAUAUUUCGACAAGUCAAUUUUACGUGAAAGAGCGUCACCCAAUAUGUUAGCGGCAUAAUUAUAAACUGUCAAAAUUGACAGCAUAAACAGCUGGUUUACUGUUUACAUGACAUCUUUAUAGUUGUUCAAAAUAUAGUACGAAGUGAGUGUGUGAGGUGAAGUCACUUAAGUGUGUUUCUGUGGCAAGGCUUAAUUCGGGGUGACUUUGUGUAUGGUAGAAAACGAAGCUUAUAGUGUUGAAGCUGCUGUUCUUCAUUUAAAGUCGUAAUAAAGUAAUUUAAAAGACGCAAAACAUUAAAAAAAUAUCACAAUUGUGUAAAAUAGAACAAUAAAUAUCAAUAAAAGUGUUAAAUGUGUGUAAAACUAACUUAAUUGUGCAUAAAAAUCAAUAACAAAAGCUGUUGUAACGCACUGAAAAGGCUGCAGUGAAAAUAACGGACAAAUGCAUAAUCAUGUUUGUGCAAGUUUGAACAUAAAAUGUUUGCAGUAGUUUGCGACAAACAAAGUGUGUUACUGUGGCAAGGUGCAGUUCGAAAGCGCCGUUGUGUGAAUGUGGAAAACGAAAAGCUUAAACUCUUGUGAACUCUUGUUUGCAUUUAAAGUGGAAAUAAAUAAAUUUAAAACGCGGAAAACUAUAAACAAAUACCACAAUUGUGUAACAUUAAACAUAAACUAUUGAUAAGAGUAAAAAUUGUGACGGAAAUAAGCGUAUUAUGUAUAAAUAGUAAACGUAAAAGUUUGAAUAUAUAACUUGGUAAGAGACUGCAGUGAAAAUAACGGGAAAAUGUUUGUGCAAGUUUGGACAUAACAUAUUUGCUGAAGUUUGAGCAAACAAAACGUAUUAAACGAAGAAAAAAUGAAACAAUUCGAAAAUUCGACUUUAUUGAAAGUGUUGUGUUAAUAUAAAUAUAUUAAAUAAGUAUAAAUAAAAAAAUGUGUGUGGGAAUAAGAAAAGCCCAAAAAUAUCGUUAAUAAAAAAUAUAUCUAUAUAUAAAAAAUCAAAUAAAAUAGUGAGUAAGUGUGUGUCCAAAUAGAAAAUAGUGAAAAUGUAGGUCAUGUGUUAAUUAAAAAAUAUGCAAAAAGUUGUAAUAUAGAAAAAAGAAAAAAAAUGUAAGUGAUAUAAAAGUAGGUCUAUGUGGAAAUAAGAAAAUUAAAAAAAUAUAUCGAAAGUAGUAAAAAAAUAAAGUGAAAUUUUAAAUUUUCCCAAGAAAAAAAAAAGAAAAAAGCAAUAAAA
Zeugodacus cucurbitae (melon fly) is the source of this 2127-nucleotide long non-coding RNA. RefSeq lists it as uncharacterized. The transcript has 5 exons. Lineage: Eukaryota; Metazoa; Arthropoda; Insecta; Diptera; Tephritidae. The record is from RefSeq and is a predicted model, not a curated record.